Molecule: ribosomal RNA, 236 nt
Filed under: uncultured bacterium
Lineage: Bacteria
Description: partial 16S ribosomal RNA
Rfam family: Bacterial small subunit ribosomal RNA
Source: RNAcentral
UGAGGAACCUAUCCCAGUCUCUGGAAUAACAGGUGGAAACACCUGCUAAUACCGGAUGCCGUUGGACCAUCGCAUGGUGGACCAACGAAAGAUUUAUCGGAUUGGGAGGGCCUCGCGGCCUAUCAGCUUGUUGGCGGGGUAACGGCCCACCAAGGCGUCGACGGGUAGCUGGUCUGAGAGGGUGACCGGCCACACUGGGACUGAGACACGGCCCAGACUCCUACGGGAGGCAGCGA